GCCGAAAUGGUGGAACUGGCAGACGCGCUGGACUCAAAAUCCAGAGCCCUUUGGGGCGUGCGGGUUCAAGUCCCGCUUUCGGCACCA
RNAcentral lists this transfer RNA (87 nucleotides) under Clostridiales bacterium. RNAcentral's name for it is "tRNA-Leu". It matches the Rfam family "tRNA". Rfam says of the family: Transfer RNA (tRNA) molecules are approximately 80 nucleotides in length. Their secondary structure includes four short double-helical elements and three loops (D, anti-codon, and T loops). The record is from RNAcentral. Lineage: Bacteria; Bacillati; Bacillota; Clostridia; Eubacteriales.